RNAcentral lists this ribosomal RNA (445 nucleotides) under uncultured bacterium. RNAcentral describes it as "bacterial SSU rRNA". It matches the Rfam family "Bacterial small subunit ribosomal RNA", at positions 958 to 1398 of the family's 1533-position model. The record is from RNAcentral.
AACGCGAAGAACCUUACCAGCUCUUGACAUGGGACGUUUGACCUCGAGAGAUUGGGGUCUUCAGUUCGGCUGGCGUCCACACAGGUGCUGCAUGGCUGUCGUCAGCUCGUGUCGUGAGAUGUUGGGUUAAGUCCCGCAACGAGCGCAACCCCCACCUUCAGUUGCCAUCAGGUUAUGCUGGGCACUCUGAAGGAACUGCCGGUGACAAGCCGGAGGAAGGCGGGGAUGACGUCAAGUCCUCAUGGCCUUUAUGAGCUGGGCCACACACGUGCUACAAUGGCGGUGACAGAGGGAUGCGAAGGGGCGACCCUUGGCCAAUCUCAAAAAGCCGUCUCAGUUCGGAUUGUUCUCUGCAACUCGAGAGCAUGAAGCUGGAAUCGCUAGUAAUCGCGGAUCAGCACGCCGCGGUGAAUACGUUCCCGGGCCUUGUACACACCGAGACGUA